GAUGAACGCUGGCGGAGUGCCUAAUACAUGCAAGUCGAGCGGCAGCACGAGUAGUUUACUACUUGGUGGCGAGCGGCGGACGGCUGAGUAACGCGUGGGAACGUGCCCCAAAGUGAGGAAUAACUGCCCGAAAGGGUAGCUAAUGCCGCAUAUGAUCUUCGGAUUAAAGUAUUUAUUACGCUUUGGGAGCGGCCCGCGUCCGAUUAGAUAGUUGGUGAGGUAAAGGCUCACCAAGUCUACGAUCGGUAACUGGUCUGAGAGGAUGAUCAGUCAGACUGGAACUGAGACACGGUCCAGACUCCUACGGGAGGCAGCAGUAAGGAAUCUUCCACAAUGGACGAAAGUCUGAUGGAGCAACUCCGCGUGCAGGAUGAA
This 375-nucleotide ribosomal RNA is filed under the name uncultured bacterium. RNAcentral describes it as "bacterial SSU rRNA". It matches the Rfam family "Bacterial small subunit ribosomal RNA", at positions 28 to 412 of the family's 1533-position model. The record is from RNAcentral.